AUUGAACGCUGGCGGCAGGCCUAACACAUGCAAGUCGAACGGUAACAGGAAGAAGCUUGCUUCUUUGCUGACGAGUGGCGGACGGGUGAGUAAUGUCUGGGAAACUGCCUGAUGUAGGGGGAUAACUACUGGAAACGGUAGCUAAUACCGCAUAACGUCGCAAGACCAAAGAGGGGGACCUUCGGGCCUCUUGCCAUCGGAUGUGCCCAGAUGGGAUUAGCUAGUAGGUGGGGUAACGGCUCACCUAGGCGACGAUCCCUAGCUGGUCUGAGAGGAUGACCAGCCACACUGGAACUGAGACACGGUCAAUACUACUACGGGAGGCAGCAGUGGGGAAUAUUGCACAAUGGGCGCAAGCAUGAUGCAGCCAUGCCGCGUGUAUGAAGAAGGCCUUCGGGUUGUAAAGUACUUUCAGCGGGGAGGAAGGGAGUAAAGUUAAUACCUUUGCUCAUUGACGUUAACCGCAGAAGAAGCACCGGCUAACUACGUG
This 490-nucleotide ribosomal RNA is filed under the name uncultured bacterium. Its description in RNAcentral is "partial 16S ribosomal RNA". It matches the Rfam family "Bacterial small subunit ribosomal RNA", at positions 30 to 507 of the family's 1533-position model. The record is from RNAcentral.